Molecule: long non-coding RNA, 466 nt
Filed under: Mus pahari (shrew mouse)
Lineage: Eukaryota; Metazoa; Chordata; Mammalia; Rodentia; Muridae
Description: predicted gene, 40190 (MGP_PahariEiJ_G0005797.1)
Source: RNAcentral
GCGGCCGCGCCCGGGAGGCUGCGAGGCGAAGGCGGCGACCCAUCGCGGGUCUCCCGGAGCUCUUCCCUGACGCCGGGACCUGCGGCUGCGAAUCAAAGCUGCUUGGAAUCAGGUCUGCUCAGCUCUAAUGGCAAAGGAUGGAGCCAAAGCAUAGUCAGGACUUUCCAUGAGAGGACUAUGCAGCGUUCACACUGCUUCUGUGUGCUUUCUUCCCCAUUUCCCAGACAUCAGAGUGAGGGGAAGGAAGAGCUCAGAUGGCUGUCCACCCAGAGCUCCCCCUAACUACCCCUUUUGGCAGCUUCUGCUUUACCUUCUUCCUGUGGAAUAUCCUUCACAACAGAAUAACAUCAACCCCAGAACUCCCUAAGUAAAAGGCAUUUGGAUAAGUCGGUUGGAAUGCAUCUGAGACUCAAGAAACAGAAGGCUCAGACACUUGCCACACCGUGAAGAUUUGUCAUCUCACAUG